GAGAGAGGGAAGGAAGACGAGACGUAAACACCCUAGCCACCAAACGGUCGUCUGUCAGCCGAAUUUUGGAUCUCACACCUUCCCGCGCGCUGCCUGCCAAUUUAUUACUCGAAUGUCACUGACCAUCGCAUGCUCGCAUUCCCGUUCCCCCUUAUUUUUCCCGUAAUUUAAACCGGUGUUUUCUUCAAUAUCACAAUUGCAAGUUAGCUUAGAAAUCAAAAUGCGAUGCUGAUUUUUUGAUCGUGAAUUUUGUUACCUUUGCCUUUAGUUUUUAUGUCAUGACAUCUGCGACGUUCUUUCUGUUGUGAAUGCACGAGACCCAAGUCAGCUGGAAGAGUUUGUGAGGAAUCGCCGGGCUGCUUGAUGCGGCAGCAACACAUCGUGUGUAGUAUCCGCCACAUCGGAAAGGUGAAGAAUCUCUCUCUUUCGACGACUCCAGAACUCCACAACAUCAAUCACACGUGACUUUCCACACGACGGUAAAAAAGGACACCUUAGCCAUAUCAACAGACCACCAUCGCACGACAUAUUCCUUCCCCACAUCACCAUGGCAACGGUAACCACGACGCAAUCUUCCUUAUUGAUGUUGACCUUGAUCCUGCUCUCAAUUACUACGUCAUCGUUAGUCCUUGCCGAUUGCCGGAAGCUGGGUCUUCAAUACAAACUAGCCAGACCCGGCUGCAGACCCGUAACUCUAGACUCUGUCGGCUGCCGCGGUACCUGCAGCGGCUACACGAGAAUAUCACCGAAUAAUUACCUCGAGGUCGAGCGAUCCUGCACCUGUUGCCAAGAGAUGGGGUUCUUAGAGCGCACCCAGCGGUUGCAGUGCCCCACUCUGAGUCCUCCAUUCCGUGACGUCACAUACAGGAUACCACGGCGUUGCGCGUGCCGCCCGUGCCGGUCCGUCGCCAGCGUGAAUCGGGUACAGACACUCGAAGAUCUACGAUUCGGGUGAAGACCAGGAAACCAAUGAAAACAAUGAACUUUAUGCCCGUGUCCAUAUCAUGUCAGAUUUACAAAGUACUAUUUUUAUGACAACGACGAUGACCCGGUGACACUGGUGACGAGUUGCACUUCCGGUGUAAUGAAAACAGAAACGAAAAUUCUAAAACUUCAUGUGCAUUCUUAAGUAAUUUGAUGUGGUAUUUAUCUGAGUUUAUAUUGUUAUUCCGUAUUGAUCAUAUUGAUGAAUUAUGAUACCAGGCAUAUUGGGAAUCUUAGAGGAAAAAGAAUAAAACUACAUUUAGGAUAACGUUUUGAUUAUAUUCAUACCAGGAAUUGUGUUAGCUAGAAAUAAUUUUUGUGAAAAAUAACCCUAUUUUCCCGGGCCUUUUUUUUCACUAAAACUUUCCGAUCAAUGUAUUUUUCUUUAUGAAUAGACAGUUUUAAUGAAAUAAAAUCGUAGUUAUUUUUAUUCAAAUUGAUCUUUUUUUGGCACACGAAAACAGAGGCGAAAAGAAUCGCCCCCUCCUUCCGCCGCAAAAUGGCAAAAUCUCAGUGUUUUUACCCUGUAAAUUCUCUGGUUUGCAUGUUGAUGUUAGAUCUCAUGCCAGUAAAUGUCUGAAGAGUGUAAUAUUGAUUCUCGAAAGCUGCUACAAUUUCCGUAUUAAAUCAAGGGUCGUCGAAUCCCCCCCGCAGCACGUGACCCCAGAGCAGUAUGCUUCCAUGAGCAUGAUGGGAAAAGAGUUGUGUUGUCACAAUGUGUUGCACGUUUCCAUCCUCAAAUCCUACUACAUGAAUUUCAAAAUUCAUGUAUACUUCCGGUUCAUUGCACCGUGCAUGAUGGGAUUGGGCAAAGGGGUGAUGGUGAAGCUGGUUUAAAGAUUAUUCAUUCCCUUUUAAUUCCGAGUCAUGGUUCCGACUUAUGGAUUAAUUUAAAGAACAUUUUGGUAUAAAUCAUUGAUGAUAAUAUCUAUAUAGCGCUAAAUACAAUGGCCCGUACUCUGAAGUCGGGUUUAACUUAGACCAUGGUCCCACUCUGUGCUAAACUUAUGGGAAGCAAAAUGUGUCAAAAUUUUGUUUGCAUCAAAUGCUUCACAUGUUUACUGUUCUCUUUCCUAAUUCUUUAAUGGUGAAUACAUAUCUUAUUAAUCAUUCCCAGACAGCUAAUGUUUUUUUAAACAAAUGACCUGAUAAACUGAACUUCUACUGUUAGCGAUUUAUAUCACAACUGGCUUUCCAUUGUUAAACCUGACUUCAAAAUACAGGCCAAUUUUUUUCUAAGCGGUGCAUUGUAUUUCCCUGGCUUUAGCAAGGCUACCCUGAUCGGACGCCCGAGCAUUCAAGGAAUUUUCCCCCUAUGCCGGGUGCCUAUUUACCAUAUUUACUACACCUGGAUGGAGAGUUGCAAAUGUAGAUAAACGCCUUGCCAAAGGACGCGAUUGUUGCGGUGGGAUUCGAAUCCCAGACCUUGUGGUUCAAUGUCAGGACACUUAUCCACUAAGCCACAACACCUCUAUUCAGACAUAUCAGAUCGAUCGAAUUCAUCCCUAAAACUAGAACUUUUACUUGACCUUUGACUCGGAUGGGGUCCACUCCCAACUGACGACGCUUUAAUCUGACUCCGAUCAAAAAUAAUGAGAGUGUAUGUAGUGAAUAUUGGGCGUCUCGUAUUAUCCAAGUUCCAACCCCCACUCCCUUGGCAUCCUUAGGUGUCAUAUUUAAUCUGGUUUGCCACUCUUCACCCAGGAUGAAAGGGUUUGUAGUCAGGAGAAAUCUCAAUGUUGUUAUUCUAUGUAGCCAUAUUCUGUAGCAUCAUUAGAAACUAUCUGUCUGAUUUUUUUUUUUACAUUUUAUCACUGAUAUUACUGUUAAUGUCUUAUCAUUAUCAGUGUAACAUUCUCAAUUGCAGUUGGUCAGAUCCAGGAUGUUCUUACAGUAUCUAAAUAUAAUAUGGUCAUGGUUUUAUGCGACACACACUCGUUCAAUGGUUGUAUUCAUGGGAUACAAUUAGCAUCCCAUCUUGCUAUUUUGAAAAUAAUGGGCUAGUACUUUUUUUAAUCCAUCAUGUAACAAAAAUAAUGUUUUCCUUUAAAAAACAUCAAACAUGUGCACUUUGCAAAAUCCUAUAUUUUUGUCUCUUUAAAGUACUCAUUCAACGUUAACCUGACUCAAAGUUUCGGAUAAAAUUUUCCUCCGAAGAAAUCGAAGAAUCCACCUGCUUUUUCGAAGGCACUCAUAUUACCAUCGAUUUAUAGGCGGAGGAGAAGAAUUUAGGGGUGUCAUGCGUGAAUCCCGCACAAUUUACAUAAUAGAAGUCAAGACAUUCCUCCGAACCGACAUCAAGCGUUCCUCUCUUCUCAAGUAAAUGGGCGAAUAGAUACAUCUUGUGGUUUAAAACAUACCUACGAAUCAAUUGGUGUGAAGCCGAGUAGAGCGAUGGUGCACGGAAAAAAGGUGGCGCGCACUCUUCAUGCUCUUAUCAUUAUUUUACAAGCGAAACAAAAUGCAAGAAACGUCGUGUUAGUGCGUUCAUUGGCGCACUCUUAAUAGACCGUUUGCGUUUGGUUUCCUUCUUGAAAAGUGCAAAUUAUUCGGUGUCAAAGCAAUAAUUUAUGAUGCUUUAACAAUAAUCUUCACACCGUGAAGGGCUUGUAGGUAGGGUUCAUAGAAAGUGGUCUCUUUGACUGUUGUUGACAUUGAUGUUCCAUAUUUCGAGAUAUUCCAUGUUUCGUCGAGGGAGAGUUAACCAUUAUGUUGACAUUUUGAUCGAAGCAUAAGGAUCUGUCAGGGUACAUAAAUGAGCUCUUUCAGUAAGAUUGGACGGAACAAAUAAAAGGGGAAAAUAAAAAGACAAACUUGAAAUGUUUCAGGUUGUCAAAAUUUGAGUUCUUUUUACAUAGAUUAUGGAUACUCGGAGCGGUAAAUAACGGUCGUAUAGAAUACCUUUAUUUUUCACAGCAAAAGUCCACUAUCUUAUUUUAUACAGCUAUAAAAAUUGCUUCUCAUGAAGUCGAUGAAGCAUUGAGUAAAAUAUUUGAUCUGUGUGUAAAAUAAUCGUAACAUAUAACUUUUUGCAGUAUUGCUGUGACUGUACAUAAGAAAGGUUGAGUGUCAAAAAAGUUUUGAAAUUGUGGCGUAUAAACGAGGUGGUGCCCCGAUCGUCGAAUUAGCUGGUAAUUCGUAAGUAAUAAAUAAAAGUAAUAUUAUUCGGGGAUAUUGCAAAACAAGCAUCCUUAUUAUUGAUGGGUUUUUAAUGUCAACACCAAAAUUAAGUAAAUAGAACAUACUGGUUUGCAUCGCCCGAAAGAGAUGAAAAAUUACAUCUUGACCUUGGUAAUUAAAGUAUGCAUUUGAAAAUCAUAUAAUUUUAUUCACUAAAUUUCUAAACGGUAUGGACAGUACAUGAUUGAGCUUUAACCUAUGUCUAAAAUGUUGAUAAAAUGGCGAAGUUACUGUUGGUUAUGCAUGAUAAUGUUUAAUAUUCAUGUAUUCGUAUUAAUUCAAUUUUAUUCUGUCAUACACUUCGUGGAAUCAUUAUUCAAUGACAAUGCUUGCAUUUAACCUUCUGCUGCACAUAAUAUUUAUAAAUUAUUUGGGUAUAACCUAUAUUGUCAUAUUAUAGUUUCGAAUUUAAAGAAUGUGUAACAGGGUAUGACUUAUCAACAGGAGAAUAGAUAAAUAUUUUCCAAAUGUAUUUUGGGUUUGGCUGAUGCAGAAAUGCCUGAAAAGUAAAACGUGCUGCGAAAGAGUUAUAGAGUCUUUAAAUACAUGAAAAUGUAUAUAGAUCCUUACGUUCAAUUGUAAUUGGAAAAAAAAGAAAAUAUAUUAAUUUAUUCCAUAUAGUAUGAAAAUGAUUCGCUAUUUGUACAUAGAGUAUGUAAAAAGAGGACUUGGCAUUUAAUGUCCAAUUGUAAAUAGCACCGUAAUUACCAUCUGUCUCCCUUCCCCUCUCGAUAUAUGUCUAUCUCUCUCUCUGUCUCUUUCUAUCUCCCUCUCUCUCUCGCUUAUGUACACACACACGCACACACCCUUACACACGCACCCCCACACCCACCAACACACACACACAAACACACCCAAACAUACUUCUAUAAUUUUAUUCAGGUUUAGAAGGUACCUAUAGCUUUAAUGUAGAUCGAAAUCAAACAAUGUAAAAACAUCAUGAAGUAUCAGGGUAUAAGACAAAUUGGGAAAUAAACGAACAUGUCCUUGUCAUAACGACCUUUCAUUAAAAAAUGUCAUCGUGUUAGAUACGAAAGGUGUGGACGAUAUUGUUGAUUUGCUUCGAAAAAAUAAAAACAUUCUUACAAAAUGAA
This is a long non-coding RNA of Lytechinus pictus (painted urchin), 5258 nucleotides long. RefSeq lists it as uncharacterized. The transcript is spliced from 2 exons. The record is from RefSeq and is a predicted model, not a curated record. NCBI's taxonomy places the organism in Eukaryota, Metazoa, Echinodermata, Echinoidea, Temnopleuroida, Toxopneustidae.